UCGCUGCUAAGUUUCCACAGGAGCCUGGAGAAGCAGUGACGCUGCGACACUAACACAGAGCAACAAGUGCAAUAAGAGAGCGUGUGUCAGAGAGCAGUGCACUACCUUCCUGUCACAUAGACUCAUGGAUAACUUCCAGGCACAGCCGCACUGACACACAUUUCUAAUUACUCUGCUUUAUCACUGCCUCGUGGCUAUUGUUUAUCGGGACUCCUGCUCCAAGCGUCUGAUUGGACAGAGAUCACGGGACUAGCAGCCAAAUGAUCAUUGGCUACCCACAACCAAUAAGGAAGUGGCUGCUUCAGGAGAGAGCUGCAUAUGUUCCAGCACCUCAGUGAAUUUCUGAGGGCCGUCACUGCACAGAGAACCCAGCAGUCCGGAUAAUUAACUCCUCCCCCAGCCCUUCUCUCCCCCCGCAGCCAUUAUCUCCCUGCAGCCUCCCUUGUCUAGCCGCUCCCUCACUGUCACCACAGCCUGUUCAGACGCUCUGCCGACUGCGUCUCCCCAGCCAGCGCGACCUUAAUCCUCCUGGCUGCUCUGUGUGCUACUUCUGGUGCUGUGUGGAGGAACAGCGCUGAGUCAAGGGCGCACACAGUGGCGACUCACAAUACAUUAUAUAAGAUUCCCUCGUCAAACUUUCCCCGUUGCCAGGUAACCCAGAUCACGUGCCCCUGCGGGACUUCCGCCGGGGAAUGCUUUCUGCUUGAAGCCGGGACCCGCUCACGUGACGUCUCACCAUGGCGGAUACAAGCAAUCGGCUCAUGUUGGGCGCCGGCCUGACAGUUUUGUCGCACCCGAUGAUGUAUGUGAAGGUGCUGGUGCAGAUGUGAAUCUUUUAAUUGGAGGCCCAACAUACAGCGAUUGUGCCGGCGGUUAUUGCUACAGUGAAAGCAGCUUGUCAGCUACAAGGAACAGGUUCAUACACUGAUCUGAAAUACCUGAAAUAUGCUCCCCGGCUCAUUCUUUGAGAGGUGGACUAGUCUGGCCAAUGGACUGUACAAGAGCAGGGAGCUGAUCAGUGGCUACUUCAGUCAAGGGUCCAUUUCAAACCUGCCCAGAUACAUAUGGCUGAGUUUCAAUCAGAUAUGAAUGGGGUUGGCAUAUCACCAGCCUAACCAGUAAUAUAGCAGCCGAGACUGGGACCAGUGUUACACAUUUAACCAGCAAUGUAUUUGCUCAUAAAUGUAUAAUUCCCUGAUGUGCCACCCCUGUCCUGUCCCUCCCCAAUCCCUGCCGCCAGCUCCGCUUCUUUCCCUUCUUCCUAUAAUCCCGCUCCCAUAUCGACCAUAUUUUCUCCCGAACCACCCCCCCAUUGUCCCUCCCCUUUCUGUACAGCCAGAUUUUUUUUUUCCAAAAUGGUGACAACCCUAGAUAUUGGUCAGGCAGGACCUUCUGAGGGCCCAUGUAUGAUAAUGUCCCUGGUACAGCACAAGCCCAGUAUAAUGCCUCUUCUGAGCUGACUGGACUGUGCUGGCACCCAGCCUAUAUCAGUGCAAUGGACUGUGAAAACCUGUUGGUGGCGCCUACUCCCACGAGCAGCGUCUCCUAUUUCCCCUACUCAUGUAUGUCAGUGGGCAUGGGUAUUCUACUACUUCAUUCUAAAGCAUGGGGGCAACACCAUCCAGCAGGGAGGCAGCAAGAUCAACAUGGGAUUCCUUAAAAGCCUGGGCCCAACAGAACUGAGAAGCUUGAUACAGUUGUACCCUGCAAUUACAUAACUUAAGCCUUGCUCUGUCUACCUCCCUCACCCUGUCUGUUAAAGGGCAAGUAAACCCAGGAAUAUCAGGGCAGGGGGGCUGCUGUACUGCCUCUUAUGCCCAACAGCCGUUUCAUUGGUAAAGUUACAUCCCCCCAAUUCAGCAGAACAAAACUUCCUGGUGACUCUGGAUGGACCCUCCUCUUCCCAUUUUCCCAAAGGGAGUGGUAUGUGCAGUGAACCUCGGGGGAGCAGGGUACUAUGGGAAAAUAUUCACUACGAAUCAAAAUGUAGAGAGAUAUUAUGUACGUCUUUGGCCCAGGACUCCUUGAAUUUCCAGUGGCCUCUAAUAUCCCGCCUGUUAUCAGUAGACCAAUCACGGGAUGGACUGAUGCCCAAUGAAACAUCACACAGACCUGCCCUUCCUCUGCCCAAAUAAUACCAAAGGCAACUUUAUCAUGGGACAAAUGUCUUCUAAUGACAGUGGCAUGUUUAUGGGUCAGCUCUUUCUAGACCCAAUGAGUCCAUUUCUCCUUGGCCCAAAGAAUACUAAUGGCAGUGACAUGUAUAUCCAAGUCCCUGCUAGGCCCAAAAUAACAUAUUAAUAAACACCUUCUGAACCCAGUCUCAUUAUAACACUAUAUAUCAUUUGUAUGUGAUUGAUUGACCAAACCUCUGGUAUCAGUGCAGAUCAGUAGGACUAGGUCCCCUCCUCAUAUUUCUUCAUCCUUAGCAUCUCCUUUCACCCAUUUCUCCCACCCCUGCCUCUUGAUUCCACCUUCACUUUUCAGUGACCCUUUUCCCUUGCACUAGAGGUCUCCCUCCUCUGUAAUGUUCCCUGGCAAUACUAUAGAACUAUAACAAAUGCAAGAACACCAAUGAAAUGUGUAUUAACAUAUUUAUUUAUAAAGUGAUUGUUUUAUUUAUGCAUUUUAGAUUAAUUCAUACUAAUUUAGGUUGGGAAGGACUCGCAUCCAUUAGGUUCAAGUUUUAGUGUAAAAGGGAUCUUCCUAUUUAGAAGUUGAUCCAGAGGAAGGCGAAAAACCCCAUCUGAUGCCGGAGCCAAUUUGCCUCAGAGGGGGAAAAAAUUCCUUCCUGACUCCCAAAGGGCAAUCGGACAAGUCCCUGGAUCAACUUAUACUAAGAGUUUAUGUCAGUAUCAGUACUAAGAGUUUAUGUGAGGGUUUAGAGGAGGAGAUGUGACUGGUUGUUGAGUGGAUUGAAAGGAUAGGAAGACAAUUUGAAUAGGAAGAACCACUGAGGAAUUGGUGUUGGGAGAUUGCAGAGAAGCCUUUGUGUAGUGGCGGUUUU
Xenopus laevis (African clawed frog) is the source of this 3007-nucleotide long non-coding RNA. RefSeq lists it as uncharacterized. The transcript has 3 exons. The record is from RefSeq and is a predicted model, not a curated record. NCBI's taxonomy places the organism in Eukaryota, Metazoa, Chordata, Amphibia, Anura, Pipidae.